RNAcentral lists this ribosomal RNA (463 nucleotides) under uncultured Rhodoferax sp. Its description in RNAcentral is "bacterial SSU rRNA". It matches the Rfam family "Bacterial small subunit ribosomal RNA", at positions 919 to 1384 of the family's 1533-position model. The record is from RNAcentral. Lineage: Bacteria; Pseudomonadati; Pseudomonadota; Betaproteobacteria; Burkholderiales; Comamonadaceae.
ACCCGCACAAGCGGUGGAUGAUGUGGUUUAAUCGAUGCAACGCGAAAACCUUACCCACCUUUGACAUGUACGGAACCCUUUAGAGAUAGAGGGGUGCUCGAAAGAGAGCCGUAACACAGGUGCUGCAUGGCUGUCGUCAGCUCGUGUCGUGAGAUGUUGGGUUAAGUCCCGCAACGAGCGCAACCCUUGUCAUUAGUUGCUACAUUCAGUUGGGCACUCUAAUGAGACUGCCGGUGACAAGCCGGAGGAAGGUGGGGAUGACGUCAAGUCCUCAUGGCCCUUAUAGGUGGGGCUACACACGUCAUACAAUGGUCGGUACAGAGGGUUGCCAAGCCGCGAGGCGGAGCCAAUCCCACAAAGCCGAUCGUAGUCCGGAUUGUUCUCUGCAACUCGAGAGCAUGAAGUCGGAAUCGCUAGUAAUCGCAGGUCAGCAUACUGCGGUGAAUACGUUCCCGGGUCUUGU